ACUCCUACGGAGGCAGCAGUGGGGAAUAUUGGACAAUGGGCGCAAGCCUGAUCCAGCAAUGCCGCGUGUGUGAAGAAGGCCUUCGGGUUGUAAAGCACUUUUAUCAGGAGCGAAAUGCCAUUGGUUAAUACCCGGUGGAGCUGACGGUACCUGAGGAAUAAGCACCGGCUAACUUCGUGCCAGCAGCCGCGGUAAUACGAAGGGUGCAAGCGUUAAUCGGAAUUACUGGGCGUAAAGGGUGCGUAGGCGGUAAUUUAAGUCUGCCGUGAAAUCCCCGGGCUCAACCUGGGAAUGGCGGUGGAUACUGGAUAGCUAGAGUGUGUCAGAGGAUGGUGGAAUUCCCGGUGAAGCGGUAAAAUGCGUAGAGAUCGGGAGGAACAUCAGUGGCGAAGGCGGCCAUCUGGGACAACACUGACGCUGAAGCACGAAAGCGUGGGGAGCAAACAGGAUUAGAAACCCUUGUAGUCC
This 468-nucleotide ribosomal RNA is filed under the name uncultured bacterium. RNAcentral's name for it is "bacterial SSU rRNA". It matches the Rfam family "Bacterial small subunit ribosomal RNA", at positions 335 to 796 of the family's 1533-position model. The record is from RNAcentral.